Molecule: long non-coding RNA, 1347 nt
Filed under: Bemisia tabaci
Lineage: Eukaryota; Metazoa; Arthropoda; Insecta; Hemiptera; Aleyrodidae
Description: lncRNA ENSSSA3NGG014313
Source: RNAcentral
UAAGAAAAAUUAAAAUCAUUCUGAACUUUGUGAAAUCUGAAAGACUAAAGUAAAAAUUAAAAAUGGAUAACAUCAAGCGCGAUGAACUUAGAGACAUUGAAAAACUGAAAGAUACCAGCAAUUUUCAAUUUUGGAAAUUCCAAGUUACAAUUGUUCUGAAAGCUGGAAAUGCGUACGAGAUAAUGACAGGACAAAGUGUGAAACCUGCAGCGGAUGGGGAAGAUGGAAAGAAGGACCAAAAACAACUCAAGGAAUGGCAGAAAGGAGACGCUCUUGCACAAAAAGUGAUCGUCCAAACGGUGGAGAGAAGUGUGAUGAUUCAUCUCAUGAACUGUGACAGCGCAAAAGCAAUGUGGGAUGUACUUUUGAAACUUUACGAACGAGAUGACACCGAACAAAGAUGCCAACUUCUGGAGGAAUUUUUCAACGCUAAAUAUCAGAAAGGUACUUCCAUCAUGAGCCAUGUGAGUACUCUGGAGAAUCUCUACACAAGAUUGAAUGCUAUUAAGGGAAACGUGUCUGAGCAAAUGUUAAUAACUAAAAUUAUAACAACCCUACCUAGUCAUUACAGCUAUUUUUCUGCAGCUUGGGAAGCCACAGCUACUGAGAGUAAAACUUUGGUAACUUUAAAAUCACGACUCAUGGCUGAGGAAAAUCGUCAUAAAAGCCAAAAGGAACCUGAAGGCUUAGCUUUCAGAGCACAAGUGCAGAAAUGUUACAAUUGUAAUAGAGUAGGGCACCGUUUGAGAGAAUGUAGGGAUAAAAUUGUCUGUAAUCUAUGUAACAAACCGAAUCAUGUUGCCAAAUUUUGUAGAAAUAAAAAUGGCAGUGCGCGUGAUAAAACUGAUAACAAAAAUAAAGGGUCUAAUCCUCCUUGUGGAAUUUGUAAGAAGACUAAUCAUCUAGAGGCACAAUGUUUUUUAGAGAUAAGAAUGAAAGUGAUGAGAAAAAUAAAAGAAAUAAAAAUGGUAAACCUGUGCUUAUGGCAAACAAUUUGUGCGACGGUGACGUCAAAACAUGGGUCAUUGACUCCGGCGCUACGUCACAUAUCUGCCGUUCAAGGGAAUAUUUCACUGAAUUCAUUAAGUGUGAUCACAAAAUUGGUGUCGCCAAAGAGGGCGAAUUUUUGAUCGCCAGAGGAAUAGGAGUGAUUCAUUUUGAUCGAUUUAUUUUACGUGAUGUGUAUUAUAUCCCUGAAGCGUCUAGAAAUCUAAUUUCUAUAAGUGUAAUAACCCAGCAGAAUGGUCAGGUAUUCUUUGAUAAAAAUGAAGUAAUAAUUAAAAAAGAUGGUAAGUUUGUAUUUAAAGGUACUCAGGAUGAAUCAGGUCUCUUUAUUGCAAAUGCAGA